RNAcentral lists this unclassified non-coding RNA (253 nucleotides) under uncultured Cryomorphaceae bacterium. RNAcentral describes it as "contains 16S-23S intergenic spacer region". It matches the Rfam family "Bacterial small subunit ribosomal RNA", at positions 524 to 776 of the family's 1533-position model. Lineage: Bacteria; Pseudomonadati; Bacteroidota; Flavobacteriia; Flavobacteriales; Cryomorphaceae. The record is from RNAcentral.
UACGGAGGAUCCAAGCGUUAUCCGGAUUUAUUGGGUUUAAAGGGUCCGCAGGCGGGGUAUUAAGUCAGUGGUGAAAGGCUGUCGCUUAACGAUAGCAUUGCCAUUGAUACUGGUACUCUUGAGUGUAGUUGAGGUGGGCGGAAUAAGUCAUGUAGCGGUGAAAUGCAUAGAUAUGACUUAGAACACCGAUUGCGAAGGCAGCUCACUAAACUACUACUGACGCUGAGGGACGAAAGCGUGGGGAGCGAACAGG